RNAcentral lists this non-coding RNA (186 nucleotides) under Candidatus Omnitrophota bacterium. Its description in RNAcentral is "Candidatus Omnitrophica bacterium 6S RNA". It matches the Rfam family "6S / SsrS RNA". Rfam says of the family: E. coli 6S RNA was the first non coding RNA to be sequenced, but its function was unknown until recently. It consists of 184 nucleotides that fold into an extended hairpin structure with a large single-stranded internal bulge. The 6S RNA specifically associates with RNA polymerase holoenzyme containing the sigma70 specificity factor. Lineage: Bacteria; Pseudomonadati; Candidatus Omnitrophota. The record is from RNAcentral.
GAUUCCCUGCCAUGCGCGUGCUGAUUUAGUAAAUUUUGAGCCAUUAAUAUUUAAUAGGGAACCUAAGGCAAGAUGUGGCUGUAGGCUUCGACUUCGUCGAAGAAACAAUAAACAUCUGGAAAGGUACCCACCUGUACUAACAGGGUUCAAAAAUUGCUAAACUCGCACGGCUUGUGCGGGGAUUUU